GUCUCAGUAGCAUAGUGGUUAGUGCACAGCCACGGAUAUGUUGAGGCGCGGGUUCGAAUCCCGCCUGAGAUG
Molecule: transfer RNA, 72 nt
Filed under: Nippostrongylus brasiliensis
Lineage: Eukaryota; Metazoa; Nematoda; Chromadorea; Rhabditida; Heligmosomidae
Rfam family: tRNA
About the family: Transfer RNA (tRNA) molecules are approximately 80 nucleotides in length. Their secondary structure includes four short double-helical elements and three loops (D, anti-codon, and T loops).
Source: Rfam by way of RNAcentral